UCUUCGUGUUCCGAUUUCAUCAAAAUAAAACCAGAAUAAAACCAGCAGAACCAGCACAGAACCAUCAGAAUAAAACCAGAAACACAUCAAAAUAAAACCAGAAUAAAACCAGCAGAACCAGCACAGAACCAGCAGAAUAAAACCAGCAGCACAUCAAAAUAAAACCAGAACAAAACCAGCAGAACCAGCAGAAUAAAACCAGCAGAACAUCAAAAUAAAACCAGAAUAAAACCAGCAGAACCAGCACAGAACCAACAGAAUAAAACCAGCAGCACAUCAAAAUAAAACCAGAAUAAAACCAGCAGAACCAGCACAGAACCAACAGAAUAAAACCAGCAGCACAUCAAAAUAAAACCAGAAUAAAACCAGCAGAACCAGC
RNAcentral lists this long non-coding RNA (379 nucleotides) under Cicer arietinum (chickpea). RNAcentral describes it as "long non-coding RNA (CARI_LNC000254)". Lineage: Eukaryota; Viridiplantae; Streptophyta; Magnoliopsida; Fabales; Fabaceae. The record is from RNAcentral.